CCAGCGGUACCUGCCCGGCUGGACCUGCUUGAAGUGCAGGAUGUUGUAGCGCGCCGGGCCGUCCCCGCUGUCCGAGAAGCGGAAGUGGUCGGCGCUCAGGCCUGCGCGCCGGAGUCAAGCGCCGUUCGUGUGCCCACAACUGCUUUUCCUGUGGCCUUUCGCACGUAAUACUUCACUACGAGAGACCGGCCCGAGCCGGCGCAACUCUAACCUGCUACCCUGCACAUGGGGUCAUCAAGCUCAUAAGCGACGGCCGACAAGCGCACCUCGGAAUGUGACGUUCUUCAGGUCACUCCGUGAUCAGAUUGACCGUUAAAACAUAAAUAUUUAAAAGAUGGCGCCACUAUGACAAAGGCGAUGCGACGAUGAUGGCGAAAGCGGUGGCCCGAUGACAACGCUGACACGACAGUGAUGGCCGUGACAUGACAAAGCAACAACGACGACGGCACGAAAAUGACACCUAGAUGACUGAUAUAUAAAUUUGCAAAGACCUUGUGAUCGGGAAAC
Molecule: long non-coding RNA, 507 nt
Organism: Dermacentor albipictus
Lineage: Eukaryota; Metazoa; Arthropoda; Arachnida; Ixodida; Ixodidae
Source: RefSeq, a predicted model, not a curated record